AAGAGUUUGAUCAUGGCUCAGAUUGAACGCUGGCGGCAGGCCUAACACAUGCAAGUCGAACGGUAACAGGAAGCAGCUUGCUGCUUUGCUGACGAGUGGCGGACGGGUGAGUAAUGUCUGGGAAACUGCCUGAUGGAGGGGGAUAACUACUGGAAACGGUAGCUAAUACCGCAUAACGUCGCAAGACCAAAGAGGGGGACCUUAGGGCCUCUUGCCAUCGGAUGUGCCCAGAUGGGAUUAGCUAGUAGGUGGGGUAAAGGCUCACCUAGGCGACGAUCCCUAGCUGGUCUGAGAGGAUGACCAGCCACACUGGAACUGAGACACGGUCCAGACUCCUACGGGAGGCAGCAGUGGGGAAUAUUGCACAAUGGGCGCAAGCCUGAUGCAGCCAUGCCGCGUGUAUGAAGAAGGCCUUCGGGUUGUAAAGUACUUUCAGCGGGGAGGAAGGGAGUAAAG
This 456-nucleotide ribosomal RNA is filed under the name Escherichia coli. RNAcentral's name for it is "bacterial SSU rRNA". It matches the Rfam family "Bacterial small subunit ribosomal RNA", at positions 1 to 459 of the family's 1533-position model. Lineage: Bacteria; Pseudomonadati; Pseudomonadota; Gammaproteobacteria; Enterobacterales; Enterobacteriaceae. The record is from RNAcentral.